UACGUAGGGUGCAAGCGUUAAUCGGAAUUACUGGGCGUAAAGCGUGCGCAGGCGGUUCUAUAAGACAGAUGUGAAAUCCCCGGGCUCAACCUGGGAACUGCAUUUGUGACUGUAGAGCUGGAGUACGGCAGAGGGGGAUGGAAUUCCGCGUGUAGCAGUGAAAUGCGUAGAUACGCGGAGGAACACCGAUGGCGAAGGCAAUCCCCUGGGCCUGUACUGACGCUCAUGCACGAAAGCGUGGGGAGCAAACAGG
Molecule: ribosomal RNA, 253 nt
Filed under: uncultured bacterium
Lineage: Bacteria
Description: partial 16S ribosomal RNA
Rfam family: Bacterial small subunit ribosomal RNA
Source: RNAcentral